CCUAUUUUGGGAUUAAAAGGAGCUGUUGCUUGUUCUCUUCCUUCCCUGCAGAGUUGAGCGUUAUGAUGAAGCUGCUCAGCUCGGAGGAUGAGGUUCUGGUGGGCAACGCUGCCCUCUGCCUUGGUAACUGCAUGGAGGUGCCCAACGUUGCGUCUUCCCUGCUAAAGACGGACCUUUUGCAGGUCUUGUUAAAGCUCGCAGGCAGUGACACACAGAAGACGGCCGUGCAAGUGAACGCAGGCAUUGCUCUGGGGAAGCUGUGCACAGCUGAGCCCAGCCUAAACAAAUGGAGGAACGGCCAGCAAGGGUCACAUGUUCAUGCAGGAGAAAACAGUGGAGAAGGAGAGAUGCAGAACAGCAUGCCGAGGUCCCCAGUUUGCUGCUCAACUGAGAAAGCUUCAUGGCCUAGAAAUUCUCAACUCUACGAUGAAAUACGUCAGUGAUUCUUGAGAGAUGCAGGGUUUGUGUGCCUUUGGGGAACACACAGAUGCACACUGUGUGUUGUUCCUAUGCUAAUAAAGACCUUUGAUAUAUCC
RNAcentral lists this small RNA (536 nucleotides) under Pan troglodytes (chimpanzee). RNAcentral's name for it is "retained intron". The record is from RNAcentral. Lineage: Eukaryota; Metazoa; Chordata; Mammalia; Primates; Hominidae.